Molecule: small nucleolar RNA, 136 nt
Organism: Artibeus jamaicensis (Jamaican fruit-eating bat)
Lineage: Eukaryota; Metazoa; Chordata; Mammalia; Chiroptera; Phyllostomidae
Product: small nucleolar RNA SNORA51
Exons: 1
Source: RefSeq, a predicted model, not a curated record
GGCCUCCCAGCGCUUACUUACCACAGGCUGUGUUCUCACCCCACCUGCACAGAAAAGGGCGGCAGAGCAAACCCCCGGCACACACACCUCAGCCCCGUCCUUUUGCCUGGUCUGUACUGUGAAUGAGGGAACAUGG